CCAAAGUAAUUUCCGACUUGCGAUCCCUCCAGGACUUUUCAACAAUGCGCCGCUUCUGGAAUACUUGAAUCUGGAGAACACGAAGAUGAGUACUUUACCCGUGAACUUAUUUGUGACUAACAGAAGGUUGCGUCGCCUGGAUCUGUCAGGCACGAAGCUGAGUACUUUACCCGUGAACUUAUUUGUGACUAGCAGAAGGUUGCAGCGCCUGUA
Molecule: long non-coding RNA, 213 nt
Organism: Sycon ciliatum
Lineage: Eukaryota; Metazoa; Porifera; Calcarea; Leucosolenida; Sycettidae
Exons: 3
Source: RefSeq, a predicted model, not a curated record